AUAAUUAAGUAAUUUGAGUUACUAUUUUCUUUUUUUUGUGGUCUCUUUAUUCACUUUUUCUUUUCUUAAAGCAAAUAAGGAAUUUUAUUGGUUAUAAUGAUUCUUAUAAAUUUCAUAUGGUUUGACAUAAAAUUAGGUAACUGGUAAGGCCUUCAUGUUGGAUGAAAUUAUCAACUAUGUACAGUUCUUACAAAACCAAGUGGAGGUAACAUUGCUAUUGGAAAAAAAAAAACUCAAACACAGUUAUAAUGAUUUAAUUCUUCUUUAACUCAAACACAGUUAUAAUGAUUUAAUUCUUUUGCUAUUGGAAAAAAAAAAACUCAAACACAGUUAUAAUGAUUUAAUUCUUCUUUAAUACAUUAUUAAUGUGUUUUUGUUUUUCAGUUCCUCUCAAUGAAGCUUGCUUCUGUGAAUCCCAUGUUCUAUGAUUUUGGAAUGGACCUAGAUAACACAUUCAUGGUCAGGCCAGAUGAUCAGCAGGUAAAAGAGCCUUCAUUUAUAGGGUCUAGUUAAUUAUAAUUUAUGAUUAAAUGUAAUGAAUCUUUGUCUCUGACAUGAAUUAAAAUCC
This 568-nucleotide long non-coding RNA is filed under the name Citrus sinensis (sweet orange). RNAcentral describes it as "long non-coding RNA (CSIN_LNC003051)". The record is from RNAcentral. Lineage: Eukaryota; Viridiplantae; Streptophyta; Magnoliopsida; Sapindales; Rutaceae.